GUUCGUCCCAUUCUCUGUUUCAGGAGUCUUGUUGACACAGUCUAUGCGUUGAAGGAUGAAGUCCAGGAGUUGAGACAGGAUAACAAAAAGAUGAAGAAAUCUCUGGAAGAGGAGCAGAGAGCCCGCAAAGACCUGGAAAAGCUGGUGAGGAAAGUUCUCAAGAACAUGAACGACCCUGCCUGGGACGAGACCAACCUCUGAGGAGCGUCGUGGCUUCUUCCUCCGAGACCAGCUGGGAGACCGAGCCGGGAGCCCCAUGACCCUAGCCAGGGUGACCUUCAGGGCCGUGGGGCAGGGCUGCACAAAAGUCAGCUUGCUUUCUGGGCAUGGAAAAGCCGGAGUUUAUCACACAAAUAGAAAUGGUCACAUUGUUCCUGAAGAAUCCAAACACGAGGUGUAGACCCUGGGGGCUGAACUGCAUUAAUUUUACUCUGUUAACAUCUCAAUUACCUCAUUUUGCAAAAACCCAUGACAACACCUCCAUUUCCGCCUGGG
RNAcentral lists this long non-coding RNA (495 nucleotides) under Ursus americanus (American black bear). Its description in RNAcentral is "lncRNA (ENSUAMG00000005896.1)". The record is from RNAcentral. Lineage: Eukaryota; Metazoa; Chordata; Mammalia; Carnivora; Ursidae.